AGCGAACGCUGGCGGCAGGCUUAACACAUGCAAGUCGAGCGGGCACUUCGGUGUCAGCGGCAGACGGGUGAGUAACACGUGGGAACGUACCCUUCGGUUCGGAAUAACGCUGGGAAACUAGCGCUAAUACCGGAUACGCCCUUUUGGGGAAAGGUUUACUGCCGAAGGAUCGGCCCGCGUCUGAUUAGCUAGUUGGUGGGGUAAUGGCCUACCAAGGCGACGAUCAGUAGCUGGUCUGAGAGGAUGAUUAGCCACACUGGGACUGAGACACGGCCCAGACUCCUACGGGAGGCAGCAGUGGGGAAUAUUGGACAAUGGGCGCAAGCCUGAUCCAGCCAUGCCGCGUGAGUGAUGAAGGCCUUAGGGUUGUAAAGCUCUUUUGUCCGGGACGAUAAUGACGGUACCGGAAGAAUAAGCCCCGGCUAACUUCGUG
Molecule: ribosomal RNA, 433 nt
Filed under: uncultured bacterium
Lineage: Bacteria
Description: partial 16S ribosomal RNA
Rfam family: Bacterial small subunit ribosomal RNA
Source: RNAcentral